This 521-nucleotide ribosomal RNA is filed under the name uncultured bacterium. RNAcentral describes it as "bacterial SSU rRNA". It matches the Rfam family "Bacterial small subunit ribosomal RNA", at positions 988 to 1509 of the family's 1533-position model. The record is from RNAcentral.
CCAGCGAACUUGGCAGAGAUGCCUUGGUGCCUUCGGGAACGCUGAGACAGGUGCUGCAUGGCUGUCGUCAGCUCGUGUUGUGAAAUGUUGGGUUAAGUCCCGCAACGAGCGCAACCCUUAUCCUUUGUUGCCAGCGAUUCGGUCGGGAACUCAAAGGAGACUGCCGGUGAUAAGCCGGAGGAAGGUGGGGAUGACGUCAAGUCAUCAUGGCCCUUACGAGUAGGGCUACACACGUGCUACAAUGGCGCAUACAAAGAGAAGCGACCUCGCGAGAGCAAGCGGACCUCAUAAAGUGCGUCGUAGUCCGGAUCGGAGUCUGCAACUCGACUCCGUGAAGUCGGAAUCGCUAGUAAUCGUGGAUCAGAAUGCCACGGUGAAUACGUUCCCGGGCCUUGUACACACCGCCCGUCACACCAUGGGAGUGGGUUGCAAAAGAAGUAGGUAGCUUAACCUUCGGGAGGGCGCUUACCACUUUGUGAUUCAUGACUGGGGUGAAGUCGUAACAAGGUAGGCGUAGCGAG